CCCUUAGAUGUCCUGGGCUUCACGCGCGCUACACUGAUGUGUCCAGUAAGCACCUAACCUCUUCCGAAAGGAACGGGUAACCUUUGCAAAGCACAUCGUGAUGGGGAUAGAUUAUUGCAAUUAUUAGUCUUGAACGAGGAAUUCCUAGUAAGCACAAGUCAUCAGCUUGUGUUGAUUACGUCCCUGCCCUUUGUACACACCGCCCGUCGCUCCUACCGAUUGAAUGUUCCGGUGAGCUCUUCGGACUGCGCGGUCUGCAGUUUCUGCGUUCCGUGCGGAAAGUUGCGCAAACCUUAACAUUUAGAGGAAGGAGAAGUCGUAACA
RNAcentral lists this ribosomal RNA (324 nucleotides) under uncultured eukaryote. Its description in RNAcentral is "partial 18S ribosomal RNA". It matches the Rfam family "Eukaryotic small subunit ribosomal RNA", at positions 1470 to 1796 of the family's 1831-position model. The record is from RNAcentral.